AAUGUCUGAGCCAGUAAGAGAAUGGAAACUAAGCAAGACAACAAGAUUAGGGUGGCCAAGGCUAAAAGCUGUGUUGGUGAACCGUUCCCCCAUCUGAACUGGCUGACACAGAGGGCACAGCGUGAUGAUAGAUGAGAGGUAUGUUUUGAUGUGAGGGAGGAAGCCAGUCCCGUCAUCGCCACCUCACCCGCUCUUAAGAUAACCUUUGGGCCAAUUUAAACUGGAGAUAUUGUAAUUGUGAUGAAUAUUAGAAUAUUAGGGUAGCACUGUAAUUCGUUAAUCAUAUGCUGUCUGCCUCUGUUCUUACCUCUUUCCCUUUCUGUCUUCUACAUCUCUCUCCCCACCUCAUCUUUCUUCCUCGUUUUAUAAUGCACACUAUAUGUGCAUUGAAGCACAGAUUGAACUUGUAUUUAUAAUAUAAUAUUGCAAUUAUCAUAAUUAUAAUGCAUGUAUUAUGUAUUUAUAACCCAUGGAUAAUGAACUUCUUUCAAUAAAGUGUUUCACUUUC
This is a long non-coding RNA of Oncorhynchus masou masou (cherry salmon), 508 nucleotides long. RefSeq lists it as uncharacterized. NCBI's taxonomy places the organism in Eukaryota, Metazoa, Chordata, Actinopteri, Salmoniformes, Salmonidae. The transcript has 3 exons. The record is from RefSeq and is a predicted model, not a curated record.